AGCACCCUACCAGGUCUCGACAUCCUUUCCCCCCACUAAACAUAGCUCUUCCCCCAUCGGGGGACAGAGUGACAGGUGGUGCAUGGGUGUCGUCAGCUCGUGUCCUGAGAUGUUGGGUUAAGUCCCGCAACGAGCGCAACCCUUGAUCUUAGUUCCCAGCACUCAGUUGGGCACUCUAAGGUGACUGCCGGUGACCACCCGGAGGAAGGUGGGGAUGACGUCAAAUCAUCAUGCCCCUUAUGACCUGGGCGACACACCUGCUACAAUCCAUGGUACAAAGGGCUCCAAACCUGCGAAGGUAAGCGAAUCCCAUAAAGCCAUUCUCAGUUCCGAUUGCAGGCCGCAACUCGCCUGCAUGAAGCCGGAAUCGCUUGUAAUCGCGGAUCAGCAACCGCCGUGAAUACGUUCCCGGGCCUGGCACACACCGCCCGUCACACCACGAGAGUUUGUAACACCCUAAGUCAGGU
This 467-nucleotide ribosomal RNA is filed under the name uncultured Bacillus sp. Its description in RNAcentral is "bacterial SSU rRNA". It matches the Rfam family "Bacterial small subunit ribosomal RNA", at positions 965 to 1432 of the family's 1533-position model. Lineage: Bacteria; Bacillati; Bacillota; Bacilli; Caryophanales; Bacillaceae. The record is from RNAcentral.